This 443-nucleotide ribosomal RNA is filed under the name uncultured bacterium. RNAcentral's name for it is "bacterial SSU rRNA". It matches the Rfam family "Bacterial small subunit ribosomal RNA", at positions 20 to 507 of the family's 1533-position model. The record is from RNAcentral.
UGGCUCAGGACGACGCUGGCGGUGUGCUUCACACAUGCAAGUCGAACGAGGUAGCAAUACCUAGUGGCGGACGGGUGAGUAACGCGUGGGAAUCUGCCUUUAGAUGGGGGAUAACGGGUCGAAAGACUCGCUAAUACCGCAUAUGACGAAAGUUGAAAGGAGUAAUCCGUCUAAAGAUGAGCCCGCGUCCGAUUAGCUAGUUGGUAGAGUAAAAGCCUACCAAGGCGACGAUCGGUAGCUGGUCUGAGAGGAUGAUCAGCCACAAUGGGACUGAGACGCGGCCCAUACUCCUACGGGAGGCAGCAGUGGGGAAUUUUACGCAAUGGGCGAAAGCCUGACGUAGCGACACCGCGUGAGCGAAGAAGCCCCUUGGGGUGUAAAGCUCUGUCAGCUGGAACGAAAAAAUGACGGUACCAGCAGAGGAAGCACCGGCUAACUACGUG